Molecule: ribosomal RNA, 525 nt
Filed under: Botrytis cinerea
Lineage: Eukaryota; Fungi; Ascomycota; Leotiomycetes; Helotiales; Sclerotiniaceae
Description: eukaryotic LSU rRNA
Rfam family: 5.8S ribosomal RNA (bases 159-312)
Source: RNAcentral
CGAACAUUGGAAUUACAAAGUCUGCCGAAGGGUAGACCUCCCACCCUUGUGUAUUAUUACUUUGUUGCUUUGGCGAGCUGCCUUCGGGCCUUGUAUGCUCGCCAGAGAAUACCAAAACUCUUUUUAUUAAUGUCGUCUGAGUACUAUAUAAUAGUUAAAACUUUCAACAACGGAUCUCUUGGUUCUGGCAUCGAUGAAAAACGCAGCGAAAUGCGAUAAGUAAUGUGAAUUGCAAAAUUCAGUGAAUCAUCGAAUCUUUGAACGCACAUUGCGCCCCUUGGUAUUCCGGGGGGCAUGCCUGUUCGAGCGUCAUUUCAACCCUCAAGCUUAGCUUGGUAUUGAGUCUAUGUCAGUAAUGGCAGGCUCUAAAAUCAGUGGCGGCGCCGCUGGGUCCUGAACGUAGUAAUAUCUCUCGUUACAGGUUCUCGGUGUGCUUCUGCCAAAACCCAAAUUUUUCUAUGGUUGACCUCGGAUCAGGUAGGGAUACCCGCUGAACUUAAGCAUAUCAUAACCGGAGGGAAGAAC